GUCGUUCGAUCGCGCGCGUGUAGCUACGUCGUGAGGACGUCUUGUAAGACGCGCUUUGCGUUGUUUUUCGUAAUUAAGUUGUUGGACAGCGGUGUAAAAACUACCUCGAGUGGAUAUUCUUCCGUCGACACUGUUGUUCUUCCGUUGACACUGGUGUGGUUACCCAGUUUCGCGUGUGGUUUACGUGCACGAAGACUGCGUGCACCAGAGUUCUCAGCCGCUAGCAGUGACGGUGUGGUUAGCGCUCGCGGUCGCCGUAACAAUGUUCACAAACGUCGACUUCCGUGGCGUUGCGCGGGGACAGUGUUCCGUCAGUAAUUGCGAAUGCGACGGCUACGCUCGCUCACCGUCCUCCGAGGUGUGCACUUCGCAAAAUGCGACGCUCCAGUGCGGUUGGUGCUGCUACUGCGGCCACCCGCCAGUUUCUCACAGUCGUAUUGAUGACAUGGACUGUAGUCAGUUGGAGCCUGCUCAGAUGAGUUUGGAAGCUGCUCAGCCACUAUCAUCCCUCCCAUUCGUAAUCGAUGGGGCAGUGAGUCUCUUGGGACAGCCUGUGUCAGGUGAUACACCAGUGGUGGAAGUGGAGAACAUCAAAACAGAGCCAGGAAUGACGCCCAAAGAAAUCCUGCAACCACAACUAGUCCAGGUGGCAGCCUCGAAGAGACGUGCUCAGCCCAUGUUUGCAGCAGUACGCUUUUUAAAGGACAAGUCAGUUGCUGUGGUGCCAUUGGACUGGAUAGAAGGAAGCAAGUGCCUGUGGCCACACCAUCUGUCACCUCAGGACAUUGCCGAGGCUGCUCAAGAUGCCGAGAUUCCAGAUUCAUCUUUUAUUCGCCGCAACAUCCACAUCCUUAGACUUGAUUCUUCAUAUGACAAGGCGCGCACCUGGUUGGCUGAGCAGGACGCAGACAAGAUUGAAGCAUCCACCACUGACGAAGGUGUGAGCCGUAGCAAGUACCCCAGGAUGGCUUUAUCUGGUGGCAGAGGUGAAGAGAGCAGGUUGAAAGACUUGCCACAUAAGCAUUCAAGCUCUGGGAGAACUGCCCACACUGUCACGUCUACCCCAAGGAAAAAAGCCUGGAAUAUCCAACCCACAGUUAGGCUUCAGCGCCUGGCAAGCAGCAACAGGUGCAGCCAACAAACGGACACAGCGGUCGAAGGAAACCACACUGCAGACAAUUCCUGCGAAGAGGAUUCGCAGAGCCGCCGCAGCCCGUCCCUUUCGACCGUCUGCAAGUCGAGGCUUGUUACGUGCAGUGAGAGUGAAAGUGUUCCGUCACCAGAAAGGGUCGCCGACACCAGCGCCACCUUGAACAAGGACACGAGUCCAAGGUCGAAAGAGAAUGGUCACAGGCGUCGAAAAUCGAUAUGGCACUUCGAGGCCACGGAAAGGGUGGAGAUUGAGGAAGCAGAUGAAGCAGCGAAUGGCUCCAGCCUUGAGGAACAAGAUAUAAUGAGUAUUAUACUGAAAGAGCUCAAGACGAUCAGGCAGCAAAAUGAACAAAUCCUGACAGCCCUUGGUGUGACCAACCAAAAGGAAAGUAUGGCACUCGCCAAGAUGAAGCUGCCUGUAACCGACAUAGACAGCCUGGAUGCCUUGGAAUUAAAGUUGACAACGGAUACAGUCUUUCGGGCUUGCCUUACGCACCGACUUUCACUUGUUGGAGGCCCCAGUUUGAGGGCUUUCGUAGCGGGUGUCCUUCGCUUCCUGUUCAGUGAUGCCGUGGGGCAGCAGUUCAGUAUGCUGGGCCAACGCAAGAAGAGAAGAUUGAAGGACAUGGUUAUUUACAGCGUCGUCGAACAGGCCGUUAGGAGCAACUGUGCUUAUGACAAUGCGACAUCCCACUCCAUCCGUGAUGCGGCGGGAUCCUGGCUCAAGAACUGCACCACGAGGAUGAUGACUGCUAAAAAGUCUACACCAUCAUAGACAAGAGAGAAUUGAAAAAGCCUUGAAAGCCACAGGAGAGAGUGACCAAUCUUCUAUGCAAGGAAAGUUGGGGAAGAUACCAAUGACUCGAGCUCCUGUGACUAAGCACUCAGAGUGGCAAAUGGUUUUUUUUUUUUUUUUAUCGUCUUCUGGCAAAGUUGUCUCUGGAUUUUCGUGCAUUUCCUUUUAUAGGGGCCCCACAAUGCCUUUAGAAAUAAAAACGUGGAGCAUCUUAGUUAUGAAGGAGACAGUUUUCAAAUAAAGAUUGCGUAUUUUAUGAGUGGAGUUGUUAAACAUAAAAUUCUGCCCUUUCUGAGCACUCACAGCGUGAUGCUUCUUUUCCUUGUUCCUACUACGCUCGAAGCUGUGACCGCAGGAAACAAUGGGCUGCCAUGUUCUGCCAAUCGUUAUAAUAAACUUUUUUUUGGUUUGCUUAAUCAGGCUGUGCAACCUUUGUUGAAUCACGGAAAUCAGCGUCAUUCUUUGCCGCACCAGAUGGCACCAACACCAUAUCAAGGAGGCUGCAGAAAAUAUCCAGACUU
RNA transcript from Dermacentor silvarum, 2469 nucleotides. RefSeq lists it as uncharacterized. The record is from RefSeq and is a predicted model, not a curated record. The transcript has 12 exons. NCBI's taxonomy places the organism in Eukaryota, Metazoa, Arthropoda, Arachnida, Ixodida, Ixodidae.